This 214-nucleotide long non-coding RNA is filed under the name Phoenix dactylifera (date palm). RNAcentral describes it as "long non-coding RNA (PDAC_LNC015525)". The record is from RNAcentral. Lineage: Eukaryota; Viridiplantae; Streptophyta; Magnoliopsida; Arecales; Arecaceae.
UGCAUUCCAACAGAUCCCGGCAUCCACGUCUCAGUCCCCGGAUUGAUUCCAAGCUUCAUCUUCAGCCUUCCAUGCCCCAUUCUACUUCUUCCGAGCGUCCCAGCAUGCGACCCUCCUUCCCUUCCGCAUCCCAUAGCGAUCGCAAUCUUCCGAAAUCUCAGGUCCUCGCAUCCGCAUGUGAAUCUCCCGUGAUCAGCCAGCGUCUGCAUCCCAG